Molecule: ribosomal RNA, 494 nt
Filed under: uncultured bacterium
Lineage: Bacteria
Description: partial 16S ribosomal RNA
Rfam family: Bacterial small subunit ribosomal RNA
Source: RNAcentral
GACGAACGCUGGCGGCGUGCUUAACACAUGCAAGUCGAACGGAAAGGCCUGCUUUCCCUUGUGGAUUGCGGGUACUCGAGUGGCGAACGGGUGAGUAACACGUGAGUGAUCUGCCCCCAACUUGGGUAUAAGCCUGGGAAACUGGGUCUAAUUCCCGAUAGGACUGCAGGGUGGUGCCUGUGGUGGAAAACGAUUUUCUAGUGGUUGGGGAUGAGCUCGCGGCCUUUCAGCUUGUUGGUGGGGUAAUGGCCUACCAAGGCGGCGACGGGUAGCCGGCCUGAGAGGGUGGACGGCCACAUUGGGACUGAGAUACGGCCCAGACUCCUACGGCAGGCAGCAGUGGGGAAUAUUGCACAAUGUGCGGAAGCCUGAUGCAGCGACGCCGCGUGGGGGAUGACGGCCUUCGGGUUGUAAACUCCUUUCGGCCGCGAGGAAGCCACCUGGUUGGAAGGGUGGUGACGGUAGUGGUAGAAGAAGCACCGGCUAACUACGUG